This 255-nucleotide ribosomal RNA is filed under the name uncultured bacterium. RNAcentral's name for it is "partial 16S ribosomal RNA". It matches the Rfam family "Bacterial small subunit ribosomal RNA", at positions 524 to 776 of the family's 1533-position model. The record is from RNAcentral.
GACGUAGGGCGCGAGCGUUGUCCGGAUUUAUUGGGCGUAAAGAGCUCGUAGGCGGCUUGUCGCGUCGAAUGUGAAAACCCACGGCUCAACUGUGGGCUUGCAUUCGAUACGGGCAGGCUAGAGUUCGGUAGGGGAGACUGGAAUUCCUGGUGUAGCGGUGGAAAUGCGCAGAGUAUCAGGAGGAACACCGGUGGCGAAGGCGGGUCUCUGGGCCGAUACUGACGCUGAGGAGCGAAAGCGUGGGGAGCGAACAGG